This 468-nucleotide ribosomal RNA is filed under the name uncultured bacterium. Its description in RNAcentral is "partial 16S ribosomal RNA". It matches the Rfam family "Bacterial small subunit ribosomal RNA", at positions 28 to 507 of the family's 1533-position model. The record is from RNAcentral.
GACGAACGCUGGCGGCGUGCUUAACACAUGCAAGUCGAACGGAAAGGCCCUGCUUUUGUGGGUUGCUCGAGUGGCGAACGGGUGUGUAACACGUGAGUAACCUGCCCUUGACUUUGGGAUAACUUCAGGAAACUGGGGCUAAUACCGGAUAGGAGCUCCUGCUGCAUGGUGGGGGUUGGAAAGUUUCGGCGGUUGGGGAUGGACUCGCGGCUUAUCAGCUUGUUGGUGGGGUAGUGGCUUACCAAGGCUUUGACGGGUAGCCGGCCUGAGAGGGUGACCGGCCACAUUGGGACUGAGAGACGGCCCAGACUCCUACGGGAGGCAGCAGUGGGGAAUAUGGCACAAUGGGCGGAAGCCUGAUGCAGCAACGCCGCGUGCGGGAUGACGGCCUUCGGGUUGUAAACCGCUUUCGCCUGUGACGAAGCGUGAGUGACGGUAAUGGGUAAAGAAGCACCGGCUAACUACGUG